RNAcentral lists this ribosomal RNA (265 nucleotides) under uncultured archaeon. Its description in RNAcentral is "partial 16S ribosomal RNA". It matches the Rfam family "Archaeal small subunit ribosomal RNA", at positions 717 to 982 of the family's 1478-position model. The record is from RNAcentral.
AGUCACUGACAUUAGAUACCCGUGUAGUCCAGGGUGUAAACGCUGCAGACUUGGUGUUGGAAGCCCUUUGGGGGCAUUCAGUGCCGGAGAGAAGUUGUUAAGUCUGCUACUUGGGGAGUACGUCCGCAAGGAUGAAACUUACAGGAAUUGGCGGGGGAGCACCGCAACGGGAGGAGCGUGCGGUUUAAUUGGAUUCAACACCGUAAAACUCACCAGGGAAGACUGUUACAUGAAGGCCGAGAUGAAGACUCUGCUAGAUUUUCAG